GCCGUGGUGGCAGAGUGGUAAUGCGCCGGGCUCGAGACCCGGUUCCCCUACACGGGGAGCGCAGGUUCAAAAGGCGUAGGCCGGAGACUCCUGCCCACGGCG
This 102-nucleotide transfer RNA is filed under the name Candidatus Bathyarchaeota archaeon. Its description in RNAcentral is "tRNA-Ser". It matches the Rfam family "tRNA". Rfam says of the family: Transfer RNA (tRNA) molecules are approximately 80 nucleotides in length. Their secondary structure includes four short double-helical elements and three loops (D, anti-codon, and T loops). Further hydrogen bonds mediate the characteristic L-shaped molecular structure. tRNAs have two regions of fundamental functional importance: the anti-codon, which is responsible for specific mRNA codon recognition, and the 3' end, to which the tRNAs corresponding amino acid is attached (by aminoacyl-tRNA synthetases). tRNAs cope with the degeneracy of the genetic code in two manners: having more than one tRNA (with a specific anti-codon) for a particular amino acid; and 'wobble' base-pairing, i.e. permitting non-standard base-pairing at the 3rd anti-codon position. Lineage: Archaea; Thermoproteati; Candidatus Bathyarchaeota. The record is from RNAcentral.